Frieseomelitta varia is the source of this 528-nucleotide long non-coding RNA. RefSeq lists it as uncharacterized. The record is from RefSeq and is a predicted model, not a curated record. The transcript is spliced from 2 exons. NCBI's taxonomy places the organism in Eukaryota, Metazoa, Arthropoda, Insecta, Hymenoptera, Apidae.
UGUAUCUACCAAAUGAAAUUGUCGAUAUGGAUCAACGUUUUCAUAAGAAGACAGUCAUUUGUUAUGCAACUGAUCAUCUUCUUUCAUACUUAAAUUGACAAUUGGACAUGUCCAAUUAUGGAUGUAGGUACGUGGACAGUUCAAAUGAAGAGCUUGCAUUCAUUCGUUCAAAUUGAUACCUGGAUGCGGCUGCGCCACAGACAGCUCGAAUUAACGGCGAAUCCCAGCCCAAGGGAUAAAUGCAAACUCCAAUUGCCAUAGAUAUUGCUGGAACAAAGGAAACGCCAUUAGGUCUCUAUUAGGAAAUUCGCUUUGUACUCGAAUUGUCGUUUUCUUUCUAUCUUUAGAUCGUGAUUUAUUGAACAGGAACGUGAGGAACGUGGCUGGCAUUUCAGUGAACUAUCUUUGCGGAUGUUGUGCUAGAGGUCAACAGUGAAAGGUACGAAUCUUGCUUUUCCCGCGUUCAUUUUGCACGAAGCGAGACACCGAGGGAAACGAAAUAAGAGAUUAAAAAAAAAAAAAUACUUG